Molecule: long non-coding RNA, 180 nt
Organism: Chelonia mydas (Green sea turtle)
Lineage: Eukaryota; Metazoa; Chordata; Testudines; Cheloniidae
Exons: 3
Source: RefSeq, a predicted model, not a curated record
GGGGUGACCUCUCCAGAAGUGUGUCAUGUGACCCCUCUAACAACUCCUCCCACUCCCUCUACCAAUCAGGAGGGGUUUCGCCCCUGUAGGACUGCCCCAAGAGGAGAUUUCACCAAUCAGGGUGAGUUCCGGGGCGGGGUGUCCUCUCCGGAAGUGGGUCUUGUGACCCCUCUAACAACU